RNAcentral lists this unclassified non-coding RNA (366 nucleotides) under uncultured fungus. RNAcentral's name for it is "partial contains small subunit ribosomal RNA, internal transcribed spacer 1, and 5.8S ribosomal RNA". The stretch from base 1 to 73 matches the Rfam family "Eukaryotic small subunit ribosomal RNA", at positions 1759 to 1831 of the family's 1831-position model. The record is from RNAcentral. Lineage: Eukaryota; Fungi.
GCAAACUUGGUCAUUUAGAGGAAGUAAAAGUCGUAACAAGGUUUCCGUAGGUGAACCUGCGGAAGGAUCAUUAAAAGAAGAAAGAUCGAACCCGACGAACGUGCGGGGCCCGAUCGAAUCCAUAUCCACCCCGUGUGCACGCAUCGACCGUUUGCUUUGGCAGGGGGAGAAGGAGCCUUCGAUCCGGAGGCGCCGGGAGGACACACACACGCGCGUGGCCUCGUCCUGCCAGAGUUUUUCUUGUCUUUCUCUCUCUUUUUAUCUGCUUAGACUGAACCUUCGUCUCGAUUCUCUUUGCAAUCGGUCGAACCGGAUACAACUUUCAACAACGGAUCUCUUGGCUCUCGCAUCGAUGAAGAACGCAGC